This 433-nucleotide ribosomal RNA is filed under the name uncultured bacterium. RNAcentral's name for it is "partial 16S ribosomal RNA". It matches the Rfam family "Bacterial small subunit ribosomal RNA", at positions 34 to 507 of the family's 1533-position model. The record is from RNAcentral.
CCCGCCCGCUGGCGGCAUGCCUAACACAUGCAAGUCGAACGAGACCUUCGGGUCUAGUGGCGCACGGGUGCGUAACGCGUGGGAAUCUGCCCUUGGGUUCGGAAUAACAGUUAGAAAUGACUGCUAAUACCGGAUGAUGUCUUCGGACCAAAGAUUUAUCGCCCAGGGAUGAGCCCGCGUAGGAUUAGCUUGUUGGUGGGGUAAAGGCCUACCAAGGCGACGAUCCUUAGCUGGUCUGAGAGGAUGAUCAGCCACACUGGGACUGAGACACGGCCCAGACUCCUACGGGAGGCGGCAGUGGGGAAUAUUGGACAAUGGGCGAAAGCCUGAUCCAGCAAUGCCGCGUGAGUGAUGAAGGCCUUAGGGUUGUAAAGCUCUUUUACCCGGGAUGAUAAUGACAGUACCGGGAGAAUAAGCCCCGGCUAACUCCGUG